Molecule: unclassified non-coding RNA, 262 nt
Filed under: Hevea brasiliensis (rubber tree)
Lineage: Eukaryota; Viridiplantae; Streptophyta; Magnoliopsida; Malpighiales; Euphorbiaceae
Source: RNAcentral
CUGCUUCCUCUUUCUCUUUCUCUCUCUCUGUGCGACCGCGAAGUUGAAGCGUUUUUGUAGUUUCUGAGUGUGGGGUUCGAUCUGGGUGUUCGGUUCAAUAGAAUUGGGUGGCUUGAAGGUUUAUUCUNNNNNNUGAAUCGUGUUCCGCUUUCACAGGUACUUCAAGUGGUAUUGGUGCCAGAAACAGAAGUGGCGAACUUUUGGCUGAGAGAGACAUUAUGCGGUGGUUUUUGAGUCUUUCUGUUGAUGUGUAUAGGAAAGU